This 377-nucleotide unclassified non-coding RNA is filed under the name uncultured Oligoflexales bacterium. RNAcentral's name for it is "contains 16S-23S intergenic spacer region". The record is from RNAcentral. Lineage: Bacteria; Pseudomonadati; Bdellovibrionota; Oligoflexia; Oligoflexales.
UCCGGUUUAACACCGGCAGUCUCCCUAGAGUGCCCAACUAAAUGGUGGCAACUAAGGAUAAGGGUUGCGCUCGUUAAGGGACUUAACCCGACAUCUCACGAUACGAGCUGACGACAGCCAUGCAGCACCUGUCUCCCUGCCCCUUGCGGGGAAAUCCUAUCUCUAGGACUGUCAGGGGAUGUCAAACCCAGGUAAGGUUCUUCGCGUUGCAUCGAAUUAAACCACAUGCUCCACCGCUUGUGCGGGCCCCCGUCAAUUCCUUUGAGUUUUAACCUUGCGGCCGUACUUCCCAGGCGGGGUACUUAAUGCGUUAGCGUCGACACUGCAGGGGUCAAUUCCCGCAACAUCUAGUACCCAUCGUUUACAGCGUGGACUAC